Molecule: long non-coding RNA, 233 nt
Organism: Mastomys coucha (southern multimammate mouse)
Lineage: Eukaryota; Metazoa; Chordata; Mammalia; Rodentia; Muridae
Exons: 2
Source: RefSeq, a predicted model, not a curated record
AUGAAGCAGCAUGCUCCAGACCAUAUGACUAAGGAGGAAGACAUUUCAACACUGUUUAAAUGGAAUUUGUCUGCGGUCUAAAGUUCCUAUAGAGACAGGCUUAAAAUGUCUGAAGUCAAUGGCUCAUGUUUAACCUCUUGCGAGAGAACUCACUGUCAUCGAUGAAUCAUUAGAAGCCCACAGAGCCAGCCCGCACUUGGGAAAUGUCUGUUUCAAAAGAAAUCGGUAGAAAU